This 64-nucleotide transfer RNA is filed under the name Calomicrus pinicola. RNAcentral's name for it is "tRNA-Leu". The record is from RNAcentral. Lineage: Eukaryota; Metazoa; Arthropoda; Insecta; Coleoptera; Chrysomelidae.
UCUAAUAUGGCAGACUAGUGCAAUGGAUUUAAGCCCCAUUUAUAAAGACCCCCUUUUUUUAGAA